GAGCGCAACCCUACCUUUAGUUGCCAUCAGGUAAUGCUGGGGACUCUAAAGGAAACUGCCUACGCAAGUAGUGAGGAAGGCGGGGAUGACGUCAAAUCAGCACGGCCCUUACGUCCAGGGCUACACACGUGCUACAAUGGCCGAUACAGAGGGCAGCUACCUGGUGACAGGAUGCAAAUCUCCAAAGUCGGUCUCAGUUCGGAUCGGAGUCUGCAACCCGACUCCGUGAAGUUGGAUUCGCUAGUAAUCGCGCAUCAGCCAUGGCGCGGUGAAUACGUUCCCGGGCCUU
Molecule: ribosomal RNA, 289 nt
Filed under: uncultured Sphingobacteriales bacterium
Lineage: Bacteria; Pseudomonadati; Bacteroidota; Sphingobacteriia; Sphingobacteriales
Description: partial 16S ribosomal RNA
Rfam family: Bacterial small subunit ribosomal RNA
Source: RNAcentral